GGAACAAGUUUGGGAACCACUGGUCUAAGCCUUUGCAAAAUACAUAUUUUCACCUAUCCAGCAUGUCAGCAGGAUCAGGAAGAGAAGAAAAAGACACAAAGCACCUUGGACUAUGGAGAGGCAGACUAUGUUCCUAGAGCAGAUGGCCUACUAACUUUGCACAGCAGUGCAGCAGCUCAAUAAAAUUUUAAAAUGCUUAUAAAGUU
Non-coding RNA from Chrysemys picta bellii (western painted turtle), 206 nucleotides. The record is from RefSeq and is a predicted model, not a curated record. NCBI's taxonomy places the organism in Eukaryota, Metazoa, Chordata, Testudines, Emydidae.